Molecule: non-coding RNA, 104 nt
Organism: Octopus bimaculoides (California two-spot octopus)
Lineage: Eukaryota; Metazoa; Mollusca; Cephalopoda; Octopoda; Octopodidae
Source: Rfam
AUAUAUAUAUGCAUAUAUAUAAUAAAAUUGGAACGAUACGGAGAAAAUCAACAUGGUCCCUGCGCAAGAAUGACACGCAAAUUCGUGAAGCGUCCCAUAUUUUU